UAAAAGGGUGUUUGCCGCUUUAAUGGCACGUUCGCCUUAAAAAGGGCGCGCGGGGUAUGGCUAUCAAGACAUAUCCAACACGUAAUUUUUGGGAAGGUGGGGCAGUCGGAUACAUGUGUACCGGCGCCUCC
Manduca sexta (tobacco hornworm) is the source of this 131-nucleotide small nuclear RNA. RefSeq annotates it as U11 spliceosomal RNA. The record is from RefSeq and is a predicted model, not a curated record. The transcript has a single exon. Lineage: Eukaryota; Metazoa; Arthropoda; Insecta; Lepidoptera; Sphingidae.